Molecule: non-coding RNA, 134 nt
Filed under: Gossypium hirsutum (cotton)
Lineage: Eukaryota; Viridiplantae; Streptophyta; Magnoliopsida; Malvales; Malvaceae
Description: Bacterial large subunit ribosomal RNA
Rfam family: Bacterial large subunit ribosomal RNA
Source: Rfam by way of RNAcentral
GCCAAGUGUCGGAAGGUCAAGGAAGUUGGUGACCUGAUGAUAGGGGAGCCGACGACCGAAGCCCCAGUGAACAGCGGUCGUAACUAUAACGGUCCUAAGGUAGCAAAAUUCUUUGUCGGGUAAUUCCUGACCCG